UGAUUUUAAUGAUCUUUUCUGUGUCCCACAUAGCGGCAGUAAAAACCCUUCUAUUUCUGUUUAUGUUGUUUUGCUAAUUCUCUCCUCCCUCCCCAUUAGGAUUUCAGCUGCAAUUCCCAGUUCCAAACCCAUGUAGGAUGGCCCUGGGAGUUAGAGGGACCUCUUAUUCCAAGGGUGGAAAACAGGAGCCAUGCUGCCAACAGUGAGGAGUGGAGCCAACACUGCUCCAGAGGUCCACUUUGCAAUCUGUACAGUGCGUGAACACAAGGCUGCAAGUUGGGAGAUGUGGCACCACUUGAGCUCUCCACUCCUCACCAACACUGGAGCUGCAGAAAGCCUUUGCCCUGAGUGCAACCACCUAAUGAUGUUAAGCUAUGGUAUGUCUUGCGAAUGCUCUCCUCGUUUCAAUCCAGAAAACAAUGAGGUGUUUUGUUGUUGUUUUUCAUUUUUUUUUUAAUCCUUAAUUAAUCCAAAUCUAUACAUGUCUUAAUGGAAAUAAAGACUAAAAAUAAUGACCUAAACGCUCUCA
This 529-nucleotide long non-coding RNA is filed under the name Coturnix japonica (Japanese quail). RNAcentral's name for it is "lncRNA (ENSCJPG00005020855.1)". The record is from RNAcentral. Lineage: Eukaryota; Metazoa; Chordata; Aves; Galliformes; Phasianidae.